RNAcentral lists this long non-coding RNA (1468 nucleotides) under Trifolium pratense (red clover). Its description in RNAcentral is "long non-coding RNA (TPRA_LNC007089)". The record is from RNAcentral. Lineage: Eukaryota; Viridiplantae; Streptophyta; Magnoliopsida; Fabales; Fabaceae.
UGGAAUGGAUGCCUUAUUAGCAUGCUUGGCUCACUUAAUCACCAAUAUUCUUAACUGAGAAGUGAGCCAAGCAUGUUGAUCUGACAUCUGUUCUUCCAAACCAAGGUUAUAGGUUGGGAGCAUUGUGAUUGAUUUGAAACAUUUUGGUUGGGAGCUGAAAGAGACUGGUUCAUUAGGGAAAGGUGGUACGUCAAGUUUUUAAGGCUGCCAAAUCUAUCAAUGUGUUGCUUGAAAUGCAUGUGCCAGCAGGUAUUAAUGAUGCACUUGCAAAGGUAAUAAUAGUCUUAUAAUGUUGAACAACUUUAAGUAAAUUAUAUUCUAGUGCAUCGAAGGCAUUUAACUGUAGGGUUUGGUUCUUGAUUAAAAAACAAUUAACUUAAAUAGUAAUAAUAGUAAAUAUUAAGUAAAAGUAUAUGCUCAAUGUGGUAAGAUACAUUACUUGCGGGCUUUAGUUAUAACUGUUGUGUGAUCCAUAAAAACAGACCCUAUAAUUGUUUCCCCAAAACCUGGGUGCUUUGAUUCCAUAGUACAUUGGUUUUCUUGAAUUGAUAAAUUGGGUUGGUUUGAUUGGAAAGUUAAGACUGAAAUAGAAUCAAGGUGCAUUGUUUGGGAGCAUUGGGAAUGAUUUGAAACAUUGUGGUUUUGAUGGUACUGGGUUUGAGAAUAAGAAGGAAUGCUGCAUAUGUUCAAGUAUUUUCCAAGAUAAUGAAAAGGUGAAGGUGUUAACAGAAUGUGAACAUGUUAUCUUUCUGAGUGUGUGGAUAUGUUGGCUUCUCACCCUAGAUUCCUAGUUGCCCUUUCUGUAGAGCAUAACAUGCUAUGUUCUCGGCUGUCCCUGUGAGCUUAGCUCAGUUGAUAGGGACAUCGCACUAUAUGUGCAGGAGCCCGGGUUCGAACUCGGGACACUCCACUUAUUCACCUUUAAGGUGGAUUUUCUAGCCACUAGGCUACUUGACAAAAAAAAAUGCUAUGUNNNNNNNNNNNNNNNNNNNCAUAAAUUGUGACAGUUUAAACGGAUACUCAAAGUUAUCUUAGGAGGGUAAGUGCUGGAUGCUAUAGGGUCGCAUCCUUGUACAUUGGUUGGGGAUUUGAUAGUAUUUUUUUAUAGCGUAUAGUUAUAUCAUAUUAGCAUACUUUGGAAUUGAGUCUAUUUCAUAACUAUAGAUUAACAAAUUUGGGUGAAUUGUAUAAGUUGAGACAAGUUUGGUACAUCUUUGUUAUUGUUGGCUCUGUUUGGGUUGCAUCAGAAUUGAAAUGGCUAAAUGAUGAUUGUGAGCAUUGAGGUUUAUCUACCAGGCCACAGCCACUUGGACUUAUCACUCAGGCAUAGAAGAGUUCCACCAAGAAACAUGCCUUCUAUAACUCAGUGGGGCAUUCUAUCUAUGUGGGAAGCAAACUAUGAAGCAAAUGAGAUGGCAAAGAAAGGAUCAUUAAUAGAAGAUAGGAUCGUUGAAUGGUGUAAUUCCUG